UCGAAAAUUGACCGGUUCUUGUAAACGACGUCGUUUGAUUAAAAAAAUGCCAAACGCCAAACGCGUAAACCCCCCUUCCCCUACCACCCUCCCCGCUUUCGUUACUCAUUCAUUCAUAAUCAGAAUCAGAAAAGCAAAGCUUCAAAGUUCAAAAAUUAGGGUUCUGCCGGCGCCGUCCGUUGUUGUCGGCGCUUCUGCGGCCUCUUCCUUUCCCCCUGUCCCGAACCCAGCCCCUCUUGUAGCUCCGCACGUCAUCCCCAUCCUCCCGUGGCUUCUCUGGUUGAGGGUUGGAGCUGCUCGCUGUCGUGCCGCCGUCGUCUCCCUGCUCGCCGCUCGCCGUCGCGCUCACAUAUAGGAAGAAUCAUCGCGAGCGCCAUCGUUUCCUCCUCCUCUCGGUCAAACCGUCAUCUGCUUCUCAGCCGUCCUACUUGCCGCGGUCCUUAUUGUCCACGAGACCACGACCUUCAGUCACGCCGCGUCCUCUAUCUUAGGGGAGCAGCUCAAAGUUGGGAGUGGAGUAGUUUGCGGCAUUGAAAACCAUCAGCACAAUGAAUAACAUGCCAAUAGACAAUACUGAGUGAUAAAACAGAGGUUUCUUAACAAGUCUCUUGGAUUUUAUGUUUUAGAAGCCAAAGGAUUGAUCCUAUUUUAGGUAUCUUUCUAAAGAUGGUUGACACAGACUCUAUUUAUGAAUUUUUACCAUCCUCUGAAACCACAUUAGAUUGGAAGCUUGGAAAACAUUUAAUACUAUCAAUGUAUUAACUAUUAAACAAACAUGUUUUGUAAUUUUAUAUUAUAGAAAUAAACAUGUUUUAUAAUUUUUAUUGUGUUGACGAUAUAUUUAU
This is a long non-coding RNA of Arachis stenosperma, 845 nucleotides long. RefSeq lists it as uncharacterized. The record is from RefSeq and is a predicted model, not a curated record. The transcript is spliced from 2 exons. NCBI's taxonomy places the organism in Eukaryota, Viridiplantae, Streptophyta, Magnoliopsida, Fabales, Fabaceae.